AAAAAUUAUAAAAUGUUAAAUAUUAUCAGUAUUAUAACGAUGUGCCUCAAUAUAUCUUUUUUUUUCAAUGCAGGUCACUAAAAAAACCUGAUAUCAAAGAUGGGAAAUGUUCUGGAAAUAUGGGCAAUUUUACUUGUAAUAUUUGGCACAUGGGUUGUAAUGAGCACCCUAAUGCUGUUGCCAGCAGGAAUUGUUAUAAUAUGGAGAAUGAAACGUUUGCCUGAAAUCUCCAUAGCGGGAACUGUCUGAGUAUGAAAAACAACUUCAAAAAGGUUUUGAAUUAUACGGAGAUAAAAACUCAAAAUGUGGAAAACCCCUGGUGUUCUAUCAAAAAGAUCAAACAUAUACAGUGCCUUAAAAGAAAUGAUACGAUUCUACAGAGCUGGAAGACUGAAAACGUAUUGAAUGCCGAUAAUAUUUCAAUUAAACACUUUUUCUCUAAAGCUGACAAUAUUUUUAAACUUUGGUCAAUUCUUCACUACGUGCAGAGCACUACAAACAAAUAAUUGAUGAAAUAACAUAAGACAGAAACAAUGAGUAAAGAAACAUCCAAAUAAAAGAAUGAAGACAAAUCAUGUUUCUUUUUGUAUAUUGUGUUUUCUGUGUCUUUGUUUUCAUUUCAUCAGUGUACACAGGGCUGGCGCGUCCUAUAGGCAACGUAGGCAGUUGCCUAGGGAGCACUGGGCCGGGGGUCA
Non-coding RNA from Pelobates cultripes (western spadefoot toad), 695 nucleotides. The record is from the annotation of a GenBank genome assembly. Lineage: Eukaryota; Metazoa; Chordata; Amphibia; Anura; Pelobatidae.